Molecule: ribosomal RNA, 349 nt
Filed under: uncultured bacterium
Lineage: Bacteria
Description: partial 16S ribosomal RNA
Rfam family: Bacterial small subunit ribosomal RNA
Source: RNAcentral
CCUACGGGUGGCAGCAGUGGGGAAUAUUGGGCAAUGGGCGCAAGCCUGACCCAGCAACGCCGCGUGAAGGAAGAAGGCUUUCUGGUUGUAAACUUCUUUUCUCAGGGACGAAGAACGUGACGGUACCUGAUUUAUAAGCCACCGCUAACUACGUGCCAGCAGCCGCGGGAAUACGUAGGUGGCAAUCGUUAUCCGGAUUUAUUGGGUGUAAAGGUGGUGUAGGCGGGAGCGCAAGUCAGAUGUGAAAACUCAGGGCUCAAACCUGAGCCUGCAUUUGAAACUGUGUUGCUGGAGUGCUGGAGAGGCAAGCGGAAUUCCGUGUGUAGCGGUGAAAUGCGUAGGUAUACGG